This 761-nucleotide ribosomal RNA is filed under the name uncultured bacterium. Its description in RNAcentral is "bacterial SSU rRNA". It matches the Rfam family "Bacterial small subunit ribosomal RNA", at positions 771 to 1532 of the family's 1533-position model. The record is from RNAcentral.
AACAGGAUUAGAUACCCUGGUAGUCCACGCCGUAAACGAUGAGUGCUAAGUGUUAGAGGGUUUCCGCCCUUUAGUGCUGAAGUUAACGCAUUAAGCACUCCGCCUGGGGAGUACGGCCGCAAGGCUGAAACUCAAAGGAAUUGACGGGGGCCCGCACAAGCGGUGGAGCAUGUGGUUUAAUUCGAAGCAACGCGAAGAACCUUACCAGGUCUUGACAUCCUCUGAAAACCCUAGAGAUAGGGCUUCUCCUUCGGGAGCAGAGUGACAGGUGGUGCAUGGUUGUCGUCAGCUCGUGUCGUGAGAUGUUGGGUUAAGUCCCGCAACGAGCGCAACCCUUGAUCUUAGUUGCCAUCAUUAAGUUGGGCACUCUAAGGUGACUGCCGGUGACAAACCGGAGGAAGGUGGGGAUGACGUCAAAUCAUCAUGCCCCUUAUGACCUGGGCUACACACGUGCUACAAUGGACGGUACAAAGGGAAGCGAAGCCGCGAGGUGAAGCAAACCCCAAAAAGCAGGUCCCAGUUCGGAUUGUAGGCUACAACUCGCCUACAUGAAGUCGGAAUCGCUAGUAAUCGCAGGUCAGCAUACUGCGGUGAAUACGUUCCCGGGUCUUGUACACACCGCCCGUCACACCACGAAAGUUGACAACACCCGAAGCCGGUGGGCUAACCGCAAGGGAGCAGCCGUCGAAGGUGGGGUUGAUGAUUGGGGUGAAGUCGUAACAAGGUAGCCGUAUCGGAAGGUGCGGCUGGAUCACCUCCUU